GACGAACGCUGGCGGCGUGCCUAAUACAUGCAAGUAGAACGCUGAAGGAGGAGCUUGCUCUUCUGGAUGAGUUGCGAACGGGUGAGUAACGCGUAGGUAACCUGCCUGGUAGCGGGGGAUAACUAUUGGAAACGAUAGCUAAUACCGCAUAACAGUAGAUGUUGCAUGACAUUUGCUUAAAAGGUGCAAUUGCAUCACUACCAGAUGGACCUGCGUUGUAUUAGCUAGUUGGUGGGGUAACGGCUCACCAAGGCGACGAUACAUAGCCGACCUGAGAGGGUGAACGGCAACACGGGAACGAAGAAAAGGCCCAAACUCCGAAGGGAGGAGGCAGAAGGGAAUCUUCGGAAAAGGAAGGAAGUCUGAACGGGAAAAGCCGGGUGAGGGAAGAAGGUUUUCGGAUCGAAAAGCCUUGUUGAAAGAGAAGAAAGAGUGGGGGAGGGGAAAGUUCACACGGUGACGGUAUUUAACAAAAAAGGGACGGAUAACUACGU
This 494-nucleotide ribosomal RNA is filed under the name uncultured bacterium. RNAcentral's name for it is "partial 16S ribosomal RNA". It matches the Rfam family "Bacterial small subunit ribosomal RNA", at positions 28 to 506 of the family's 1533-position model. The record is from RNAcentral.